RNAcentral lists this long non-coding RNA (285 nucleotides) under Pan troglodytes (chimpanzee). Its description in RNAcentral is "long non-coding RNA NONPTRT016171". Lineage: Eukaryota; Metazoa; Chordata; Mammalia; Primates; Hominidae. The record is from RNAcentral.
UUCAGGUUUAUGCUUGGACCUGAAUUUGUCUAGGACCUUGGACCUCAACUUCGACCUUGUCUUAAUCAGAGGGCUUGAACGUUGACCUAGAUAUUGGAACAUCUAACUUUUAUCUUAGGUCUCAAACCUAGUUUAGAACAUAAUCUUGGUCCUGGUACUAGGAUCUGGACCUUGAUUCUUAACUAAGAUUAUGGACCUCAAACUUUGACCAGGACUUUAGACCUCAACCUUGACCUGGUCCUAGAUUUUGAACCUGGUCUUCUGACAUAAAUUUGACCCAGACUU